ACAUCGAGAAUACAUAACAAUCAAUGAAUUGCUUAUCCUAAUAUUGUCCCUAAACUCUUGCUUCAACACAUAUCGAUGUAUCCACAUGCCUAAACCAAGGGCACCCAAAUUUGCGCAGGCAGAGAGAACUGCAAUAAUGGUUACAUAGUCAGGCUGCACCAUAGAAACCUGCAUUUCUCUAAACCAUUCCAAUCCUUGCUCAAAAUGACCCCUCUUAACAAAUCCAUCAAUGAACACGGUCCAAGAAAUCGCAUCCCUCUCAGGCAUUUCAUCGAACAACUCAAUCGCAUCUGCUAUCUCCCCAUU
RNAcentral lists this unclassified non-coding RNA (306 nucleotides) under Hevea brasiliensis (rubber tree). Lineage: Eukaryota; Viridiplantae; Streptophyta; Magnoliopsida; Malpighiales; Euphorbiaceae. The record is from RNAcentral.